RNAcentral lists this ribosomal RNA (1286 nucleotides) under metagenome. RNAcentral describes it as "bacterial SSU rRNA". It matches the Rfam family "Bacterial small subunit ribosomal RNA", at positions 242 to 1520 of the family's 1533-position model. The record is from RNAcentral.
UAGCUAGUUGGUGAGGUAAAGGCUUACCAAGGCGACGAUCUGUAGCGGGUCUGAGAGGAUGAUCCGCCACACUGGAACUGAGACACGGUCCAGACUCCUACGGGAGGCAGCAGUGGGGAAUUUUGGACAAUGGGGGCAACCCUGAUCCAGCCAUGCCGCGUGAGUGAAGAAGGCCUUCGGGUUGUAAAGCUCUUUCGGCCGGGAAGAAAUCGCAUGGGCCAAUACCCUGUGUGGAUGACGGUACCGGAAUAAGAGGCACCGGCUAACUACGUGCCAGCAGCCGCGGUAAUACGUAGGGUGCGAGCGUUAAUCGGAAUUACUGGGCGUAAAGCGUGCGCAGGCGGUUUUGUAAGACAGGCGUGAAAUCCCCGGGCUUAACCUGGGAACUGCGUUUGUGACUGCAAGGCUAGAGCACGGCAGAGGGGGGUGGAAUUCCACGUGUAGCAGUGAAAUGCGUAGAGAUGUGGAGGAACACCAAUGGCGAAGGCAGCCCCCUGGGUCGAUACUGACGCUCAUGCACGAAAGCGUGGGUAGCAAACAGGAUUAGAUACCCUGGUAGUCCACGCCCUAAACUAUGUCAACUAGGUGUUGGGUGGGUAAAACCAUUUAGUACCGUAGCUAACGCGUGAAGUUGACCGCCUGGGGAGUACGGCCGCAAGGUUAAAACUCAAAGGAAUUGACGGGGACCCGCACAAGCGGUGGAUGAUGUGGAUUAAUUCGAUGCAACGCGAAAAACCUUACCUACCCUUGACAUGCCAGGAACUUGCCAGAGAUGGCUUGGUGCCCGAAAGGGAGCCUGGACACAGGUGCUGCAUGGCUGUCGUCAGCUCGUGUCGUGAGAUGUUGGGUUAAGUCCCGCAACGAGCGCAACCCUUGUCGUUAAUUGCCAUCAUUUAGUUGGGCACUUUAACGAGACUGCCGGUGACAAACCGGAGGAAGGUGGGGAUGACGUCAAGUCCUCAUGGCCCUUAUGGGUAGGGCUUCACACGUCGUACAAUGGUCGGUACAAAGGGUUGCCAAGCCGCGAGGCGGAGCCAAUCCCAGAAAGCCGAUCGUAGUCCGGAUUGCAGGCUGCAACUCGCCUGCAUGAAGUCGGAAUCGCUAGUAAUCGUGGAUCAGCAUGUCACGGUGAAUACGUUCCCGGGUCUUGUACACACCUCCCGUCACACCAUGGGAGCGGGUUCCGCAGAGGUAGGUAGCCUAACCGCAAGGGGGGCGCUUACCACGGCGGGGUUCGUGACUGGGGUGAAGUCGUAACAAGGUAGCCGUAGGGGAACCUGCGGCUG